RNAcentral lists this ribosomal RNA (734 nucleotides) under uncultured euryarchaeote. RNAcentral's name for it is "bacterial SSU rRNA". It matches the Rfam family "Archaeal small subunit ribosomal RNA", at positions 85 to 824 of the family's 1478-position model. The record is from RNAcentral. Lineage: Archaea; Methanobacteriati; Methanobacteriota.
ACGGCUCAGUAACACGUCGAUAAUCUGCCCUUAGGACAGGGAUAACCUUGGGAAACUGAGGCUAAGACUGAUAGAAGAUGGAUGCUGGAAUGCACUGUUUUUGAAAGGCAACGUCUAAGGAUGAGUCGGCGGCGGAUUAGGUUGUUGGUGAGGUAAUGGCUCACCAAGCCUUAGAUCCGUACGGGCCAUGAGAGUGGUAGCCCGGAGAAGGACACUGAGAAACUGGUCCUAGCCCUACGGGGUGCAGCAGGCGCGAAAACUUUACAAUGCACGAAAGUGUGAUAAGGGAAUCCUAAGUGCUCAUGCACAGCAUGGGCUUUUGCCAAGGGUAAAUACCUUGGAGAAUAAGUGGUGGGUAAGACUGGUGCCAGCAGCCGCGGUAACCCCAGCGCCACAAGUGGGAGCCACAAUUAUUUGGCCUAAAGCGUCCGUAGCUGGCUUGGUAAAUCUUUUGUGAAAUCGAAGAGCUCAACUUUUCGGCAUGCAGGAGACACUGCCUCGCUUGAGACCGGGAGGGGUAAGGAGUAUUCCUGGGGAACCGGUAAAAUGGGAUAAUCCUAGGAAGACUACCUGUGGCGAAGGCGCCUUACCAGAACGGCUCUGACAGUGAGGGACGAAGGCUAGGGGAGCGAACCGGAUUAGAUACCCGAGUAGUCCUAGCAGUAAACGCUGUGAGUUAGGUGUUGCACCAUCCACGUGAUUGUGCAGUGUCGUAGCGAAGGCAAUAAACUCAC